Non-coding RNA from Solanum lycopersicum (tomato), 958 nucleotides. Lineage: Eukaryota; Viridiplantae; Streptophyta; Magnoliopsida; Solanales; Solanaceae. The record is from RefSeq and is a predicted model, not a curated record.
AAAAUGUUUAACAUCUCAUUAUAUUGUUUUAAACCUGCAGAGAACCCUUUUAUUUAUGUUUUACCUUAAUUUAUGUAACGACCUAAACCGUCGAUAUUUAGAAGAAACGAAAAUAUAGGAAAAAUCGGGGCCAUUGUCCCGCCAUAGCAGGUCAGAUGCUGCUAGGGCUGCAACGCCAGGGCGGGAUAAGUUGGUGCUAGGGUGGGAUAGGCGCGAAAGAACAUAUAUUACGAGAAAUCCUAUUUUCUCCAUCUUCCUAAAAUACCUAAAAGUUGUUAAACACCGUAGAAAUCUCAGAAAAGCUGCUCGAAGUUUUGAAAGGUAGGAGAAGGAGAUUUCAAGUGUGAGGAUGGUGAAAUCUUACAGAUUCUUGGCAAAUUUCACCCUCACAAAGCUAGGGAAAACGGAAUCGAUGUCAAAAACUCUGUGCAACUGAUUCGUGCCCAUUCUACAACAUACUCUCAUGUUAAUUAUGAAGAUUCUAGAUGUUAAAGGAAUAUUUAGAGUCAACUCGCAGUAAUAUUUACCCUUAUAUAUAAGUGAGCAAGAGAAGGACUAGUACUACAAUCAAUAACUAUAGAAAAAUCAGAGAGAUGCCAUACACCAACUUUGCCAACCGGGAAGAGCUUUAUCUAGCUUGUUCAUUUAGGACUAUCACUGUGGAUAUGGUAUUUGUACUUCAAUACUCCACUGUCUCUCAGUAAACAUGGGAGAGAUGGAUCAAGGUAGAAGGAUCAAGAGAACUAAUUAUGACGAGGCUGGACUCAAAGGGGUAAGUAGACUGUAGAAUUAGUUUGUUAUGCUACAUUUUCUAAUUAUCAUACAGUGUAGUUAAAUGGUACAAGAAAAAUUAUUUACCAGGUUUGACUUGAUCUAGCUAAGAAUUUUAAUAUAUAUAAAGAGACUAUGUAGUAAAAUUUGCAUGCAGGCACAAGAAACUAUUACUUUGUUUGUACAA